AUGAAAUUGGACGCCAAGCUCGACCUCUGGUCAGGCCACAUCGACGAGGUCAAGGUCUCGUUCGGUGUCGACCUCGACGAACUGCAGCAAGGGCUUGACAGGCCACCUCCAACUCCGCCAACUGCUGAACCUGAGAGGAGCGCGCCGAUUUCCCCAAGGCGACCGUCGAGCAGCGGCUCCGCUGGCUCGGACAGGCACCGCACUGAAGGAGAAAAUCAUGGACCUGGGCAUGGAGUGUAUGUUCCGCCUCCGAUCCGAGCUAUGCAUCAAGAGCAAGCCCUACAACGUGUUCCAUUUGCACCUCUAGAAAAUUCCGGACAGAUUUCUGUUGAUGUGUUCGGGGUGGGGCCUCGAAUGGAAAUGCCUCGCUUCGACGGCACCAAUCCGAAAUUGUGGCAAACUCGAUGUGAAGAUUAUUUCAGGUUUUGGGGCACACCACAGAAUCAGUGGAUCUCUCUGGCAUCUUCACUGUUUGAAGCAUCAGCUGCUAGAUGGCUCGAAUCAGUUCGCCGUCGAGCACCCAAUGUCACCUGGGAUUAG
This 540-nucleotide ribosomal RNA is filed under the name Triticum aestivum (bread wheat). Its description in RNAcentral is "partial small subunit ribosomal RNA". Lineage: Eukaryota; Viridiplantae; Streptophyta; Magnoliopsida; Poales; Poaceae. The record is from RNAcentral.